RNAcentral lists this ribosomal RNA (303 nucleotides) under uncultured bacterium. RNAcentral's name for it is "partial 16S ribosomal RNA". It matches the Rfam family "Bacterial small subunit ribosomal RNA", at positions 507 to 807 of the family's 1533-position model. The record is from RNAcentral.
AGCAGCAGCCACGGUAAUACAGAGGGUGCGAGCGUUAAUCGGAUUUACUGGGCGUAAAGCGUGCGUAGGCGGCUUUUUAAGUCGGAUGUGAAAUCCCUGAGCUUAACUUAGGAAUUGCAUUCGAUACUGGGAAGCUAGAGUAUGGGAGAGGAUGGUAGAAUUCCAGGUGUAGCGGUGAAAUGCGUAGAGAUCUGGAGGAAUACCGAUGGCGAAGGCAGCCAUCUGGCCUAAUACUGACGCUGAGGUACGAAAGCAUGGGGAGCAAACAGGAUUAGAUACCCGCGUAGUCCCUGUCUCUUAUAC